Molecule: small nuclear RNA, 116 nt
Organism: Cyprinus carpio carpio
Lineage: Eukaryota; Metazoa; Chordata; Actinopteri; Cypriniformes; Cyprinidae
Gene: U5
Rfam family: U5 spliceosomal RNA
About the family: U5 RNA is a component of both types of known spliceosome.
Source: Ensembl
AGCCUCGAGUUUUCUCUUCAUUGUCGCAUAAAUCUUUCGCCUUUUACUAAAGAUUUCCGUGGAGGGGAGCUUAUGAAAGGACCUGUAGCUUUGGGGGCUCUGCUCACAGCAGAGCU